This 1610-nucleotide ribosomal RNA is filed under the name Psophia crepitans (common trumpeter). RNAcentral's name for it is "16S ribosomal RNA". It matches the Rfam family "Bacterial large subunit ribosomal RNA". The record is from RNAcentral. Lineage: Eukaryota; Metazoa; Chordata; Aves; Gruiformes; Psophiidae.
AGCCUCAGCUCUAGCCCAACCAUGCAUCUACCACAGACUGGUUAAAAACCCGCUGACUGCUCCAUUAAACCAAAACAUUUCUUCUAACUUAGUAUAGGUGAUAGAAAAGGCACAUUUUGCGCAAUAGAAAUUUUCUUGUACCGCAAGGGAAAGAUGAAAUAGCAGUGAAAAACAAAGCUAUAAAUACCAAAGAUAAACCCUUGUACCUCUUGCAUCAUGAUUUAGCAAGAACAACCAAGUGAAACAAACUGAAGCUUGCCAUCCCGAAACCCGAGCAAGCUACUCGGGAGCAGCUACCCUUGAGCGAACCUGUCUCUGUUGCAAAAGAGUGGGACGACUUGUUAGUAGAGGUGAAAAGCCAACCGAGCCAGGUGAUAGCUGGUUGUCUGUAAAAUGAAUCUAAGUUCACUCUUAACCUCUCUCCACAAGAACAUACAAGCCCAAACUACUUUGUAGAAAGUCAAGAGCAAUUUAAAGGGGGUACAGCUCCUUUAAAAAGAAAACAAUCUCCCCCAGCGGAUAACCAGCACUUGCCCCAAAUCCUGUAGGCCCUUAAGCAGCCAUCAAUAAAGAGUGCGUCAAAGCUCACCAUAAAAAAAAUCCAAAAAUAACAGUGACUCCCUCACCCCUAACAGGUGAACCUAUGACAAUAGGAGAAUAAAUGCUAAAAUAAGUAACUAGGGCAUGCCCUCUUAAGCGCAAGCUUACAUCACCAUUAUUAACAGACCAAACUAAUACCACAAAUUCAACAAGAGCAAAUAUUUAACCCCCUGUUAACCCAACCCAGGAGCGCUCAACUAGAAAGAUUAAAACCUGUAAAAGGAACUAGGCAAAUCCAAGGCCCGACUGUUUACCAAAAACAUAGCCUUCAGCCCGUCAAGUAUUGAAGGUGAUGCCUGCCCAGUGACACCACGUUCAACGGCCGCGGGAUCCUAACCGUGCGAAGGUAGCGCAAUCAAUUGUCCCAUAAAUCGAGACUUGUAUGAACGGCUAAACGAGGCCUUAACUGUCUCUUACAGGUAAUCAGUGAAAUUGAUCUUCCUGUGCAAAAGCAGGAAUAGACGCACAAGACGAGAAGACCCUGUGGAACUUAAAAAUCAGCGGCCACCGUACAUCCAAAAUACUAAGCCCACUUGGCCUCUCCAUCCUCCCAAGCUCAGCUGGCCCGCAUUUUUCGGUUGGGGCGACCUUGGAGAAAAACGAAACCUCCAAAAAUAAGACCAUACAUCUUAACCAAGAACAACCCCUCAACGUACUAAUAGUAGUCAGACCCAGUAUAACUGAUCAAUGGACCAAGCUACCCCAGGGAUAACAGCGCAAUCUCCUUCAAGAGCCCCUAUCGACAAGGAGGUUUACGACCUCGAUGUUGGAUCAGGACACCCUAAUGGUGCAGCCGCUAUUAAGGGUUCGUUUGUUCAACGAUUAACAGUCCUACGUGAUCUGAGUUCAGACCGGAGUAAUCCAGGUCGGUUUCUAUCUGUGGUGGACUUUUCCCAGUACGAAAGGACCGGAAAAGUGAGGCCAAUACCAUAGGCACGCCUUACCCCCUAAGUAAUGAAUCCAACUAAAUUACCAAAAGUCCACUAACACACCAGUCCUAAAUAAGGCCG